GGAACGGUGGCAGAGCGGCCAAAUGCAUCCGCCUUGAAAGCGGAAGGGUUCACGCCCCGGGGGUUCAAAUCCCUCCCGUUCCGCCA
This 86-nucleotide transfer RNA is filed under the name Ilumatobacteraceae bacterium. RNAcentral describes it as "tRNA-Ser". It matches the Rfam family "tRNA". Rfam says of the family: Transfer RNA (tRNA) molecules are approximately 80 nucleotides in length. RNAcentral also lists the same sequence under 1 other name. The record is from RNAcentral. Lineage: Bacteria; Bacillati; Actinomycetota; Acidimicrobiia; Acidimicrobiales; Ilumatobacteraceae.